CGUUGACCUCGGAUCAGGUAGGAAUACCCGCUGAACUUAAGCAUAUCAAAAACCCGGAGGAAAAAGCGGAAGAAA
RNAcentral lists this ribosomal RNA (75 nucleotides) under Exophiala heteromorpha. RNAcentral describes it as "partial 28S ribosomal RNA". Lineage: Eukaryota; Fungi; Ascomycota; Eurotiomycetes; Chaetothyriales; Herpotrichiellaceae. The record is from RNAcentral.